AGAGUUUGAUCCUGGCUCAGGACGAACGCUGGCGGCAAGCCUAAUACAUGCAAGUCGAGCGANAAGACGUANCAAUACGUUUGUAAAGCGGCNAACGGGUGAGGAAUACAUGGGUAACCUACCCUUGAGUGGGGAAUAACUAGCCGAAAGGUUAGCUAAUACCGCGUACGCUUCUUGGACUUCGGUUCAGGGAGGAAAGCGCUACCGUGGGUAGCGCGCUCUUGGAUGGGCUCAUGUCCUAUCAGCUUGUUGGUGAGGUAACGGCUCACCAAGGCUUCGACGGGUAGCUGGUCUGAGAGGAUGGCCANCCACACUGGAACUGAGACACGGUCCACACUCCUACGGGAGGCAGCAGUGGGGAAUCUUGCCACAAUGGGCGAAAGCCUGAUGCAGCGACGCCGCGUGGGGGAUGAAGCUUCUCNGAGUGUAAACCCCUUUCGACCCGGACGAAUGCCCCGCAAGGGGACUGACGGUACGGGUAUAAGAAGCCCCGGCCUAACUACGUGCCAGCAGCCGNNGUAAGACGUAGGGGGCCAGCGUUGCUCGGAAUUACUGGGUGUAAAGGGUUCGUNGGCGGUGUGGCAAGUCGGGAGUGAAAUCUCUGGGGCUCAACCCAGAGGCUGCUUCCGAAACUGGCGUGCUUNANUGUGGGANANGCGCNUGGAAUUGCAGGUGUAGCNGUGAAAUGCGUAGAUAU
This 697-nucleotide ribosomal RNA is filed under the name uncultured bacterium. RNAcentral's name for it is "partial 16S ribosomal RNA". It matches the Rfam family "Bacterial small subunit ribosomal RNA", at positions 8 to 697 of the family's 1533-position model. The record is from RNAcentral.